This 412-nucleotide ribosomal RNA is filed under the name Centrolene acanthidiocephalum (Santander giant glass frog). Its description in RNAcentral is "partial large subunit ribosomal RNA". It matches the Rfam family "Bacterial large subunit ribosomal RNA", at positions 2010 to 2572 of the family's 2925-position model. Lineage: Eukaryota; Metazoa; Chordata; Amphibia; Anura; Centrolenidae. The record is from RNAcentral.
GUUAUACUGUCUCCUUUUUCUAAUCAGUGAAACUAAUCUCCCCGUGAAGAAGCGGGGAUAACCAUAUAAGACGAGAAGACCCUAUGGAGCUUUAAACUAUACAACACCUGCUCUAACCCCCAUAAAUUUCAGAAAACCCCCAUCUACUUUUGCAGGAUGAUCGCUAGUUUUAGGUUGGGGUGACCGCGGAGUAAAAAACAACCUCCACAUUGAAAGGGGACUACCCCCUCAGCCAAGAGCCACACCUCCACGCACCAAUAAAAUGACAUUAAUUGACCCAAUAUAUUGAUCAACGAACCAAGUUACCCUAGGGAUAACAGCGCAAUCCACUUCAAGAGCCCCUAUCGACAAGUGGGUUUACGACCUCGAUGUUGGAUCAGGGUAUCCCGGUGGUGCAGCCGCUACCAAAGGU